Molecule: ribosomal RNA, 500 nt
Filed under: uncultured bacterium
Lineage: Bacteria
Description: partial 16S ribosomal RNA
Rfam family: Bacterial small subunit ribosomal RNA
Source: RNAcentral
AUUGAACGCUGGCGGCAGGCCUAACACAUGCAAGUCGAGCGGAUGAUGGGAGCUUGCUCCCGGAUUCAGCGGCGGACGGGUGAGUAAUGCCUAGGAAUCUGCCUGGUAGUGGGGGACAACGUUUCGAAAGGAACGCUAAUACCGCAUACGUCCUACGGGAGAAAGCAGGGGACCUUCGGGCCUCGCGCUAUCAGAUGAGCCUAGGUCGGAUUAGCUAGUUGGUGGGGUAAAGGCCUACCAAGGCGACGAUCCGUAACUGGUCUGAGAGGAUGAUCAGUCACACUGGAACUGAGACACGGUCCAGACUCCUACGGGAGGCAGCAGUGGGGAAUAUUGGACAAUGGGCGAAAGCCUGAUCCAGCCAUGCCGCGUGUGUGAAGAAGGUCUUCGGAUUGUAAAGCACUUUAAGUUGGGAGGAAGGGCAGUAAGUUAAUACCUUGCUGUUUUGACGUUACCAACAGAAUAAGCACCGGCUAACUUCGUGCCAGCCGCCGCGGUAA